UACAUAUUAGUAUAUGAUGUACAGAAAUUUUUGGGAUUUUAAGGUUUAGUUUAACUCUAAAAUAUGUAU
Molecule: transfer RNA, 69 nt
Filed under: Dinoderus minutus
Lineage: Eukaryota; Metazoa; Arthropoda; Insecta; Coleoptera; Bostrichidae
Description: tRNA-Gln
Source: RNAcentral